This 1362-nucleotide long non-coding RNA is filed under the name Olea europaea subsp. europaea. Lineage: Eukaryota; Viridiplantae; Streptophyta; Magnoliopsida; Lamiales; Oleaceae. The record is from RNAcentral.
GGUUUUACUGCUGAAUAAUUGAAGUUUUCUCUGUAGUGAUUGGACCUUGCAAUACAUCCAUUUUGUGUUAGCCUGAGUUGUUUAAAUCGAAACCCCUUCCAGGAAUCGUUCAGAUCCUAAACGUAGAUAAAGUUACUGAGCAUCUGGACAAUAUUUGAAAGAUCUUUAAGGAAAAUGGAGGACAGAAGAUAGUUAACAAAAUGUAAUUAAGGGAGGAUUCAGAUCUUAUUCUGACUUGUUUAAUCUGCCAUAGUGGAGGUUCCAUAUGUAGAUCAUAAUGGAUCAAAUAGCUUAAGGAAAAUGAUAUAGUCUUCAAGUAUAAGUCACAAUAAGCAAAAAAUUAUAAGAGGCAUUGUAUUUUAUGAGGAAAACAUUUUUAAUGCUUGAAUCUAAUGAGAGUGACGGGUUUGCUCAUCUUAAAAGCGUCAGACAAGAAUAUUUUGUCAUUCGCAUGACUCAAUGAUAAUAGGCUUGUAUAAGGUUUGGCCUCAAAUCCUUACCUUUGUCCCACUAGUUAUGGACGAGCUUGCAAGACUUAUUGAAGAUGAGGAUUCUAAGUGCAUUUUGUUUGAUAGUGAUAUAGUUUUGACUGAGGAGACAUUAUAUGGUAAGUCAGAAGUACUUUGGAAUCUAAAAGUCAUAUGCUCAUUUAUUAGUUGGAGAAGUAAGGAUUAUAGUGGAGUUAGGAACGAUAGAUUAUCAAGUUGUCUCAAAAAGUGAUUAUUUUUAGGUAUUUAGAUUUUAUUAUUGAAAAGGAAAGAAGGAUUGGAGAGAAGUUGUAAUGAUAAGAUUAGAGUGGGCUGCAUGAAAUGUUCGAAAGCUGCAAGAGUUAGAAAGAUUCCAUUAAGGUUAAAAGGCAAAAUCUACAUACCAGUUAUUAGACCAGCUAUGCUCAUAGCUCUUAUGUUCAUGAGAGGAUUGCAGUAGAAAUGAGGACGAAAGAUGGACGUGCAGCCAUUUAAGAUGGACAAAAAAUGAGCAUAUGCGUAAAUAAAGUGAAGGUGGGGCUGAUCGAGGAUAAUUUAAGGGAUUUUUAGCAGAAAUGAGGAUGCAAGUUGACAUACAGCCAUACUAAGAUGAAUAAUAAGAUAAAAAAUGAGAAUAUGUUUCUACAAGUUAAGGUAGAUGAUCGAGUAUAAAUUAAGUCAAACGAAGGUUUAGGUGGUUGGGUCAUGUUUUAGGGCAACCUAAAGAGGCCUCUAGUCAUAAGACUCAUGCGAUUUGGUUGAAUAGUUAGAAGAGGGAGGAGUAACUUGGUUUGUGCUAGUUGCUAAGGAUCUUGUUGAUUUAGAUCUCCCAUUAGAUCUAGCAAAGAACAUAACAGAAUGACAAAGAAGGAUUCACGUUUGUUGCUUAACCCUG